GAUGAAGAACGUAGCGAAAUGCGAUAACUAAUGUGAAUUGCAGAAUUCAGUGAAUCAUCGAGUCUUUGAACGCACAUUGCGCCCCCUGGUAUUCCGGGGGGCAUGCCUGUCCGAGCGUCAUUGCUGCCCUCAAGCACGGCUUGUGUGUUGGGCUCCGUCCCCCCGGGGACGGGCCCGAAAGGCAGCGGCGGUACCGAGUCCGGUCCUCGAGCGUAUGGGGCUUUGUCACCCGCUCUGUAGGCCCGGCCGGCGCCAGCCGACAACCCAUCAUCCUUUUCAGGUUGACCUCGGAUCAGGUAGGGAUACCCGCUGAACUUAAGCAUAUCAAUAAGCGGAGGA
This 339-nucleotide unclassified non-coding RNA is filed under the name soil metagenome. Its description in RNAcentral is "partial contains 5.8S ribosomal RNA, internal transcribed spacer 2, and large subunit ribosomal RNA". The stretch from base 1 to 120 matches the Rfam family "5.8S ribosomal RNA", at positions 35 to 154 of the family's 154-position model. The record is from RNAcentral.